UAGGGAAUCUUCGGCAAUGGACGAAAGUCUGACCGAGCAACGCCGCGUGAGUGAAGAAGGUUUUCGGAUCGUAAAACUCUGUUGUUAGAGAAGAACAAGGACGUUAGUAACUGAACGUCCCCUGACGGUAUCUAACCAGAAAGCAACGGCUAACUACGUGCCAGCAGCCGCGGUAAUACGUAGGUGGCAAGCGUUGUCCGGAUUUAUUGGGCGUAAAGCGAGCGCAGGCGGUUUCUUAAGUCUGAUGUGAAAGCCCCCGGCUCAACCGGGGAGGGUCAUUGGAAACUGGGAGACUUGAGUGCAGAAGAGGAGAGUGGAAUUCCAUGUGUAGCGGUGAAAUGCGUAGAUAUAUGGAGGAACACCAGUGGCGAAGGCGGCUCUCUGGUCUGUAACUGACUCUGAGGCUCGAAAGCGUGGGGAGCAAACAGG
This 429-nucleotide ribosomal RNA is filed under the name Gemmatimonadota bacterium. Its description in RNAcentral is "Gemmatimonadetes bacterium partial 16S ribosomal RNA". It matches the Rfam family "Bacterial small subunit ribosomal RNA", at positions 355 to 776 of the family's 1533-position model. Lineage: Bacteria; Pseudomonadati; Gemmatimonadota. The record is from RNAcentral.